GGGCAUUUAAUGCUUGUAGGACUCAAAGUGGCUCAUCGGUUAAUAAAGAAUUUAAUGCUUUCCCAAUAUUCGAUGUGCACCGACUUAGACCAGAUAUAGAGAACGGAUAGAAAAGAGAUCGGAAAGGUAAUAAGAGAUCAGAUGUGCAAGGAGAAGGAACAGAGAUCGGGCGGGAGAGUAUUUAGAAACAACUAUUGAGAGAUCAGUCAAAGGGGAGUAAGGUUAAGAGAUCGGGUAGAUCGAGAAGUUGAC
Molecule: unclassified non-coding RNA, 252 nt
Filed under: Hevea brasiliensis (rubber tree)
Lineage: Eukaryota; Viridiplantae; Streptophyta; Magnoliopsida; Malpighiales; Euphorbiaceae
Source: RNAcentral